GGCUUCAUCGUAUAGUGGAUAUUACACCCGGUUGUCAGCCGGAUAACAGGGGUUCGAUUCCCCUUGAAGCCGCCA
RNAcentral lists this transfer RNA (75 nucleotides) under Salipiger sp. PrR003. Its description in RNAcentral is "Yangia sp. PrR003 tRNA-Asp". It matches the Rfam family "tRNA". From Rfam's summary of the family: Transfer RNA (tRNA) molecules are approximately 80 nucleotides in length. Their secondary structure includes four short double-helical elements and three loops (D, anti-codon, and T loops). The record is from RNAcentral. Lineage: Bacteria; Pseudomonadati; Pseudomonadota; Alphaproteobacteria; Rhodobacterales; Roseobacteraceae.